GAGAAAAUGUGGUGGCAGAAGAAGACACCACAGGAGUUGUUGAGGCGUGGGUUAGGAAGUAGACAACAAAACUGGCACCAGGAAUGACAGCGAGGCUGGCACAGACUUCCAAGUGCGAGGCGGUGUGGAGGGCUGUUUCCUUGAAUGGCAGCUGAAUGCACCAGCAGGAUCCUUGGCAGCGAUGCCCAGGCACUGAAGCUGGGCAUUCAGGAGAGCUAAAUGAAGAAAAGAAACUUGAGCAAACUACUUCCUGGAACACCGAGAACCUGAUUGGGAAAUUAAGAAGUACCAGAUUCUCUCUAUUCUCCCACCAGCCAAGAAAAUAGUGUUACUGCUUUAUUACGCUCUUGCUUGAGAAGUUUUUCCCCAUCCUAAAGUAACAACUUCAUACCACAAGUCAAGCAGAAGCAUGGUGGAAGGGUUCAUCUGGGGAGACAAGUGGCUUGUUCUACAUCUCAAAGGGACACCUCCUUAGGUGAGAGGUAUUGGAUGCACCAGCUUGCCUGUUGACCAUUCUCUUGUGAUGAAAGGUCUGGCCUUUGUCUGCCUGGCAGACAAAAAUCUUUCACUCAGCAGGACACCUAGACAGGCAGGAAUAACUGCCACAGUCAAGCACUCAGUACCAGUAAGGAGGCUGAACUGAUAGCAAAAGACCUGGAAGUCACAGGCUUUUGUUAACUCUGCACUGUCUGCCUGGUGCCCACUGGAACGCUAGUUUCCAGCCUAGAAACCUAGCAGCUUGGGAAAGCGACACCCUCCGUCUGAAGCGCAGGAGAGGAUUCCUCCAGCUAUUUUCAACUUUUCAGGAAGCUUAAAAGUAAUUGUUUGUCUCCAGCGAUAAGGGAGACCACCCCCGACCCCCUGAAUCCAGAAUACAGAGUUUCUUUGGCCUGUGGUAUCGGGGUGACCCAGAGGCCCCUAACCCAAGACCAGCAGCAGGGCUCCCAGUGAGCUUGGGGGAAAAGAGGAGGCCCCACAGCAACGCCACUUGGAGCCUGUGGACAGCCCCCAACUCCUGACCGGCCCUGCUUUGCUCUCGAAGAACAUCUUUUUCUGGAGAUCUCGGCUGCGCCAGAGGCCUGACUUUGGUGUGGAGCUGUGGCAAGAUGUGUGACCUCAACUGAAGACAGGGCUCCCUCCUUCCCAGACCUCCCCAGGCUCUUUUCUAGUCAUGGCCUGAGCUGGGGCAUGAUGGAGACUUCAGCCUACUUCCUUCCCUCUACCUCUGUGCCAAGCCUCCAGGGCCAGAUCAAAGAGCUUCCUCUCUGAGUCUCAGGUUCCCCAUCCACGAAAUGGAGAGCUGACGACCUACCUCCCAGGGGUUUGUGCGGAUGGCCUAAGCUAAUGUAAUAAAGCGACUGCCCAUGAUACCUCCCCCCCCAAAAAAUGUAAUUGUUUGUUUACUCAAAAUAAAGCCACAAGGAUGACUUUUAGUUGGGGGAAAAAAGGACUCCUUGAUUUCCUUUUGGGAAGAUAAAUUCGUUAUUAUUUAACAAAUGCGUUUGCUUGUAAACAAAAUCUUUCAAAACAGAGAUUCUGUGAGGGAAAUCAUAUUAAAAGGAGUUUUCAGUGGGGAAGAGAUUAGGAAACCCUGUCCUAGAGACAACUGUUUAAGGGAUGAAAUUUCUCAAUUUUUCAUUUUCAUAAAAAAUUUACAAACAGUGGCUAACUUCCCAUUAUACUCUGCAUCUCAUUCAUUCGAGGUACUGAAUAUUUAAGAAGAUUAUUAGAGGAGUGGCCGUGGGAAAUUCCAGAGCUGCUGGCGCCUGCAGAGACUUCCUCUACUGAGUGUCUCAGCUCCCAGACACUGCCCCCAGAGCUGCAAGGAAAUGGUGGAAAUUCAGUAGAAGGAGGUCUUGCUUUAGCCAGCGAGGCUGCUCAUAGAGUUGUGGUUUCUUCAAAGAGGUUCUACCAAAGUAGUGGCAGAGCAUGCAUACCGACGUGCACGGAUUCAAGAAAUGUAGGCAAUAACAUUUAUUAUUAGCCAUCCUCUCGUUUCAUCAGCAAGAAAAAAAUCAGUUACUUUCAGUUGGCACAAAAGUACAUUUAUUCACUAACACAUCAGGCAUUGCUCGUGCACCUAUCAUAUGCCAGGCUCUGUGCUAAGUGCUGGGGAUAUAAAGAUGAAUAAGACUCAUGGUGCCAUAAUCAGAAUUGUCAAAAACUGACCUUGCUGGCUCAUUCUGGGUUGCCUGGACAAGAAGCCAGUGGGGACCUGAGCUUCUGACCUCCCAGCAGGAUGAGUUGCACCCAAACUUCUCAUGGGACCAAUUUCUCCCUUUCCUAGAACCCAGGUCCUUGGGUGCUGAACGGUUGGUUUUGCCAGGUAACUCCUAUAAAGAUCUAGGUCAGAUGAUACCCAAGAAGUCUGAUUAUCUACCCACCAACUAGGUCAUUCUCACUCUUGCCCUAUAAGAAGGAGAGCAGCGAGUGGCAAGUUCCUUUCCCUGGAAUGUCCACCCAUGGUGCGUCCAGCAGAGAAACUUAGCCCAUCUUGUCUCUUCUCUUGUUCAUUCAUGCUUUGUAAAUUUCCCCAAUAAAGUCUAUGAAAUUUCAUGGAAUUCAUCACAAGUCCUUUUGCAUGACAAGUGAUGCACAGGAAAGGAUCCAUCUUAUAUAACAAUGCUUCCAACCUUUUGGGAUACCACUAGGCACAAUGCUGAAAUCACCUAUUCCAGAAGAAAUCUUGUCCUUCGACAAAAAGAUUUAAUUUUCAGUUCUUGUGGGAUCUGGCCAAGGGAGGAAGUGAGAAACACUUCAAGGAGUCUGCAGUCCUUCCCAUCUGAGGAAGGCAGAGGUUGCGCAGUGGAACUCCAGGGUUCCUUCUCCAACAGCUCAGCUCCUCUGUGACCGUGCCCAUCUUAAACCUCCCUCAACAACUCAUCGCACAGAUGUUUGUUUCAUUUGUUCAUUCAUUUAGUCACUUAAUCAGGGCUGUUUUAAGACUUAAGAGAGAUAAUGGACAGGAAAGUGCCUUAAAAAAAUAUAAAGCUCUCCCCAAGUAACAUAUUUUGAAUAUCAAAGGUAUAUUUACUAUAGAUUAUCAGUUCUUCUCUUUUUUUGGUCUUAAGCUGGGAACUUAUUCUCCGGAUAAAGGCUUAUUAUGAAGCCCAAGAUAUAAAAUACAUGUACGUGGACCUACUCCAAUUGAAGUGAGGUGGAGGUUGGAACUCCAACGCUUCCAAGGAGCACAUUUGAAAAGAGAUGCCAAAGGGGCAAAAGAGUUUAGAAGGUUCUUUAAAAAAUAAAUCCCAACAGUUCUGUAGCUUGACUGUGACGGUGAAUACAUAAACCUGCAUAUGUUAUAAAUUUGCAUAGAGCAAAACACGCUCAUACACAAACGAAUAUGUGUAAAACUGGUGAAAUCUGAAUAAGAUUGGUGGAUUGUAUCAAUGUCAGUUUUCUGGUUGUGAUAUUGUACUAUAGCUUUGCAAGAUGUUACAAAUGGGUAAAACUGAGUGAAAGGUACACAAGACCUCUGUAUUAUUUCUUCCAUCUGCAUGUGAAUCUAC
Molecule: long non-coding RNA, 3512 nt
Filed under: Equus caballus (horse)
Lineage: Eukaryota; Metazoa; Chordata; Mammalia; Perissodactyla; Equidae
Description: lncRNA (ENSECAG00000050187.1)
Source: RNAcentral